RNAcentral lists this long non-coding RNA (1650 nucleotides) under Phasianus colchicus (ring-necked pheasant). RNAcentral's name for it is "lncRNA (ENSPCLG00000007606.1)". Lineage: Eukaryota; Metazoa; Chordata; Aves; Galliformes; Phasianidae. The record is from RNAcentral.
GGGGAACAACGUGUGGCCAAAAUUGGGCAUUCUGCACCAUUUUGGGGGGUUCAAAUCCACUUUUCUCAUCCUAGAGGCACACAGCAUGCUGCCAUUCCUGGCUCAGCCCCUUCCCAUGGUUUGGGGAGGCUGCUGCCUGCACUGAGACCUGUCUCUUAACAAAUUAAGGCUGAAAUCACAUGGGAUGGAGUGGCUUUUAACAAAUUAUGUCUGAAAUUGCAUGAAAUCCAUCGGUUAGUGUUUGCCUGCAUAUUGUGCUGAAGAGCAUCAGGGAUGUCAGGUGAUUUUGUGCUCUGAUAAGAAGGGGAUGUGCAUCCUUCCCGGAACGCAGUCCCAAUUUUUGUGCAGCAUUGUGACGUUUGGACAGGGCAGGGUUUGUCUGAGGGUGGUGGGAAUGCAAUGGGAUGGGGCUGAGCAAUGGGCACUGCGAUGGGGGCACCCCCAGGCAGGGAGAGCAAAGGAUCCUACAGGAACCUUGCAGCAAAACGCCUUGACGCCGUGCUCAAGCAAUGUGAACAGCAUCGUGUCUCUGGGGAUCAUUAAUUCAUGCAAAGAGAUGACUGCCAAAAGGGGAAACACGGUUCCUUCUCAAGCUUGAAAGCCCUGGGAAGGUGAAAUGCUUGGGUGAGCCUGUCGGUGUUCUCCUGCAGGAGGAGAAGGCUUUGACCUUGGCUUGUGUUCAUUUGCAACUGGGAGACGCUGCAGAGAACAGCCUGGAGCCACAGCCAUCCCCAGGCAAGGAGCUGCUCGUGUUGGGCUCCUCACAAAGGUGCAGCAGAAGUGGGUUCUGAGGUCACUGCAUCCCUGGGAUUUCUGCUGGUGCCCUGCGUGGCUCUGCACGAUGCUGCUGGGAAGGUGGAUGUGACAGAACCAGGUGCUGCUCCCGCUGGGUCGGACCCACAGCUCAUUUCAGUGGUUGCCUGCAGCUCUUAUUGGACGUGCACUUCUCACAAGAGAGGCUCUGGGGUGGGGAGGUUGUGGGAUUAAUUUCUGGCUCAAGGAGCAAACAGCUGUAGGUGAAGUCAAGGGUGAUCAGCCUCAGCCAGACAGCCGUGUCCCAGGAGAUGCCUGGGGUGCCUCUUGCUGCAAAUUGCUUUGGAUGUGUGAAUAUAGACCUCUUAUAGACUCCAGCACUGCACAGGACUGCUUGUGUCCUCAUGCUGCCAUCGUGUCCUCAAUCAUCAGGAGCUGCUGAAGGUCGUGGGAAGAGCACGAAGCAAUCCAGAGCUAAACCCGGGUAGUUUGCCUCGAGGAACCCUCACUUUGCACCCAGUUCGUGGGAUAUCCCUUCUGUUGGGUCCGUGCUGCUGCCCCAGGAGCAUCCCAAGCAGAGUGCAGGCACACAUGGGUUAUUUCUGCAGCAUGCUCUGUGCUUGCUUUAAGACAAACGGUGCAGCGUUGAGCGCCCGCUGGCAGGCAGUGUGCUCAGCCCCCUAUUAAAAACAGCAGAACAAGUUUAAUCUCUGGAUGGCAGGGAAGUUUGCAUUGUCAGCAGUGUUUGAUCCAAGUUUUAAGGGCAAAAUUGAAAUCGUUCUUCAGCCGGCUCCGCACAUUGAUCUCCAACACAAGAGCCCUUGUAAAUAACCUCCUGAGAGCGUGUCACCCUCUUUCUCCUCCAAACCACCGCGCUCCAAGAGAAGGGUGAUCCCA